Molecule: ribosomal RNA, 207 nt
Filed under: uncultured bacterium
Lineage: Bacteria
Description: partial 16S ribosomal RNA
Rfam family: Bacterial small subunit ribosomal RNA
Source: RNAcentral
AGUGCAGGCGGUUCAAUAAGUCUGAUGUGAAAGCCUUCGGCUCAACCGGAGAAUUGCAUCAGAAACUGUUGAACUUGAGUGCAGAAGAGGAGAGUGGAACUCCAUGUGUAGCGGUGGAAUGCGUAGAUAUAUGGAAGAACACCAGUGGCGAAGGCGGCUCUCUGGUCUGCAACUGACGCUGAGGCUCGAAAGCAUGGGUAGCGAACA